Long non-coding RNA from Pan troglodytes (chimpanzee), 329 nucleotides. RefSeq lists it as uncharacterized. The record is from RefSeq and is a predicted model, not a curated record. NCBI's taxonomy places the organism in Eukaryota, Metazoa, Chordata, Mammalia, Primates, Hominidae. The transcript is spliced from 4 exons.
GGGAAAAGAUGAAGAUUCAGUAAAGAAUGUGUAUACCGUAUUGGAUACUUCAGCUCAACUGUGAAUUGAUGUGCAAAUAAUUUCCUUGGGAAGAACUCUUUAUCCUGUAAAAGUGGUGGUCGUGUUGUGAAGAUGUGGAACAACCGGAAAUCUCAUGCACUGCUGGAGGAAUGUAAAUUGGUACAAGCUACCUGUCAAACCAGCAGCAGAGACAAGAGUUUCGCCUGAGGUGAACCUGGCUUGUCGCAGGAGGUAAGGUGAGUGAAAAGCUCAGUAUGUGUCCCCUUGACCCAUAGAAUUUCAAUCUUUACUUAAAAGACAAGAGAAUC